UGGUCAAGUUAUUAAGGGUGCAGGGCGGAUGCCUUGGCACUAGGAGCCGAUGAAGGACGUGAUAAGCUGCGAUAAGCUUCGGGGAGUUGCACGUAAAC
Molecule: ribosomal RNA, 98 nt
Filed under: Clostridioides difficile
Lineage: Bacteria; Bacillati; Bacillota; Clostridia; Peptostreptococcales; Peptostreptococcaceae
Description: partial 23S ribosomal RNA
Rfam family: Bacterial large subunit ribosomal RNA
Source: RNAcentral